GCACAUUUCAACAAAACAAAAUGGCAAAAUACUGUGCUCCUGAUGACAUUCUUGUGUGAUCUGCUCCUCCAGCACUGCUAAUUUAUCUGCCUGAGGAAAAAGAACAAUGCAUUCCUCACUGAUAUAGUAAGUCACAGUGUUUCAUGUCUUUUGCCCACAGAAUUCAACUUUAAGAAGCGGAUAAAUAAGCAACUUAGCAUAUGUGACCUCCUGACCAUGCAAUGUUAAAUUCCAAGAAUUGUAUUACUCCACCACUUUUAUUUGUCUGUGGGAAACCACUUGAUUUAUGCCUGAUCUCAGAAUAUAAUAAAAAUGUGCAGUACCUGUCAAGUUGCAGAUGGUUAGUGCCUGGGAGUGAGAAAAUAAAUGGAUGAAUGAGAGGGUUUUCCCUGAAUGCAUCCACAGUUUAUUCCAGACAGACUUUGCUCAGCGCUCCCCUGUGAAUCAGAACAAGAUCUAAGUCAAAGUUUGGACCACAUAAGACAACUUGGUAAGU
This 496-nucleotide long non-coding RNA is filed under the name Fukomys damarensis (Damara mole-rat). RNAcentral's name for it is "lncRNA (ENSFDAG00000023974.1)". The record is from RNAcentral. Lineage: Eukaryota; Metazoa; Chordata; Mammalia; Rodentia; Bathyergidae.